Molecule: ribosomal RNA, 2786 nt
Filed under: human gut metagenome
Description: bacterial LSU rRNA
Rfam family: Bacterial large subunit ribosomal RNA
Source: RNAcentral
AGCGUACACGGUGGAUGCCCUGGCAGUCAGAGGCGAUGAAGGACGUGCUAAUCUGCGAUAAGCGUCGGUAAGGUGAUAUGAACCGUUAUAACCGGCGAUUUCCGAAUGGGGAAACCCAGUGUGUUUCGACACACUAUCAUUAACUGAAUCCAUAGGUUAAUGAGGCGAACCGGGGGAACUGAAACAUCUAAGUACCCCGAGGAAAAGAAAUCAACCGAGAUUCCCCCAGUAGCGGCGAGCGAACGGGGAGCAGCCCAGAGCCUGAAUCAGUGUGUGUGUUAGUGGAAGCGUCUGGAAAGGCGCGCGAUACAGGGUGACAGCCCCGUACACAAAAAUGCACAUGCUGUGAGCUCGAUGAGUAGGGCGGGACACGUGGUAUCCUGUCUGAAUAUGGGGGGACCAUCCUCCAAGGCUAAAUACUCCUGACUGACCGAUAGUGAACCAGUACCGUGAGGGAAAGGCGAAAAGAACCCCGGCGAGGGGAGUGAAAAAGAACCUGAAACCGUGUACGUACAAGCAGUGGGAGCACGCUUAGGCGUGUGACUGCGUACCUUUUGUAUAAUGGGUCAGCGACUUAUAUUCUGUAGCAAGGUUAACCGAAUAGGGGAGCCGAAGGGAAACCGAGUCUUAACUGGGCGUUAAGUUGCAGGGUAUAGACCCGAAACCCGGUGAUCUAGCCAUGGGCAGGUUGAAGGUUGGGUAACACUAACUGGAGGACCGAACCGACUAAUGUUGAAAAAUUAGCGGAUGACUUGUGGCUGGGGGUGAAAGGCCAAUCAAACCGGGAGAUAGCUGGUUCUCCCCGAAAGCUAUUUAGGUAGCGCCUCGUGAAUUCAUCUCCGGGGGUAGAGCACUGUUUCGGCAAGGGGGUCAUCCCGACUUACCAACCCGAUGCAAACUGCGAAUACCGGAGAAUGUUAUCACGGGAGACACACGGCGGGUGCUAACGUCCGUCGUGAAGAGGGAAACAACCCAGACCGCCAGCUAAGGUCCCAAAGUCAUGGUUAAGUGGGAAACGAUGUGGGAAGGCCCAGACAGCCAGGAUGUUGGCUUAGAAGCAGCCAUCAUUUAAAGAAAGCGUAAUAGCUCACUGGUCGAGUCGGCCUGCGCGGAAGAUGUAACGGGGCUAAACCAUGCACCGAAGCUGCGGCAGCGACACUAUGUGUUGUUGGGUAGGGGAGCGUUCUGUAAGCCUGCGAAGGUGUGCUGUGAGGCAUGCUGGAGGUAUCAGAAGUGCGAAUGCUGACAUAAGUAACGAUAAAGCGGGUGAAAAGCCCGCUCGCCGGAAGACCAAGGGUUCCUGUCCAACGUUAAUCGGGGCAGGGUGAGUCGACCCCUAAGGCGAGGCCGAAAGGCGUAGUCGAUGGGAAACAGGUUAAUAUUCCUGUACUUGGUGUUACUGCGAAGGGGGGACGGAGAAGGCUAUGUUGGCCGGGCGACGGUUGUCCCGGUUUAAGCGUGUAGGCUGGUUUUCCAGGCAAAUCCGGAAAAUCAAGGCUGAGGCGUGAUGACGAGGCACUACGGUGCUGAAGCAACAAAUGCCCUGCUUCCAGGAAAAGCCUCUAAGCAUCAGGUAACAUCAAAUCGUACCCCAAACCGACACAGGUGGUCAGGUAGAGAAUACCAAGGCGCUUGAGAGAACUCGGGUGAAGGAACUAGGCAAAAUGGUGCCGUAACUUCGGGAGAAGGCACGCUGAUAUGUAGGUGAAGCGACUUGCUCGUGGAGCUGAAAUCAGUCGAAGAUACCAGCUGGCUGCAACUGUUUAUUAAAAACACAGCACUGUGCAAACACGAAAGUGGACGUAUACGGUGUGACGCCUGCCCGGUGCCGGAAGGUUAAUUGAUGGGGUUAGCGCAAGCGAAGCUCUUGAUCGAAGCCCCGGUAAACGGCGGCCGUAACUAUAACGGUCCUAAGGUAGCGAAAUUCCUUGUCGGGUAAGUUCCGACCUGCACGAAUGGCGUAAUGAUGGCCAGGCUGUCUCCACCCGAGACUCAGUGAAAUUGAACUCGCUGUGAAGAUGCAGUGUACCCGCGGCAAGACGGAAAGACCCCGUGAACCUUUACUAUAGCUUGACACUGAACAUUGAGCCUUGAUGUGUAGGAUAGGUGGGAGGCUUUGAAGUGUGGACGCCAGUCUGCAUGGAGCCGACCUUGAAAUACCACCCUUUAAUGUUUGAUGUUCUAACGUUGACCCGUAAUCCGGGUUGCGGACAGUGUCUGGUGGGUAGUUUGACUGGGGCGGUCUCCUCCUAAAGAGUAACGGAGGAGCACGAAGGUUGGCUAAUCCUGGUCGGACAUCAGGAGGUUAGUGCAAUGGCAUAAGCCAGCUUGACUGCGAGCGUGACGGCGCGAGCAGGUGCGAAAGCAGGUCAUAGUGAUCCGGUGGUUCUGAAUGGAAGGGCCAUCGCUCAACGGAUAAAAGGUACUCCGGGGAUAACAGGCUGAUACCGCCCAAGAGUUCAUAUCGACGGCGGUGUUUGGCACCUCGAUGUCGGCUCAUCACAUCCUGGGGCUGAAGUAGGUCCCAAGGGUAUGGCUGUUCGCCAUUUAAAGUGGUACGCGAGCUGGGUUUAGAACGUCGUGAGACAGUUCGGUCCCUAUCUGCCGUGGGCGCUGGAGAACUGAGGGGGGCUGCUCCUAGUACGAGAGGACCGGAGUGGACGCAUCACUGGUGUUCGGGUUGUCAUGCCAAUGGCACUGCCCGGUAGCUAAAUGCGGAAGAGAUAAGUGCUGAAAGCAUCUAAGCACGAAACUUGCCCCGAGAUGAGUUCUCCCUGACUCCUUGA